GCGAGCAGUAAGGAUGGGUGAAUGGAAGAAUACAUUGGCCCCAAGCAGCGCAAAUAUUGGCCUAGUUCAAUAAGCUAAGUGUUCCCCAAAAGGAAUAGGGAAAAUAAUUGGCUUUCAGACACAUGAGCACCAAGAUGGGUCUCAGUGUUAGAGGAGGACUGCAACCUGACAUGAGAGAAUCCCAGCCAGUCUAUGUCUGGAUAUAGAGUCUCAGUCAUUCCUCACUUAUUGUGGGUGCUGGAAUAGCCCAAGCAAUUUGCUACCCUCAGUCUCCUUAGAAAAUUCAUUUUUGCUGUUUUGGGAGAGGAGUGGGGAGAAGAGGAGGUGGUGGGAGGUGAGGACCAGGUUUGGAACAGUAAGCACCAAGUCCAAGUGGUGUCUGUUCAGGGAGUAAACGGAAGCUAGCCACGUCUGCAGGGGCCUGAGGCAUAGCUUUGUGUGCCAGACCAUGUAGGUGCACGCGGCUAUGUGUCCCAGUAGCUUUAGGCAAACCUGGGCUGUCAUGAUUGGUUGGACAAUGACCUUGGAUAUCACGUCCGACGUGAUCCAGAACUGGGCCUCCGGAAGGAAGGCUCUGGCUUUGGUCGAGUUGAGCAGUGCCCCAAUCAACUCAAUUCUCUGAACUGGAAUAAGGGUCAACUUUUGCUCGUUUAUCAAUAGUCCCAGCACUCAGAAGGUGGCUUGGACCAGGUUGAUGCUGUUCUUUACUUGAGCCUCUGAAUGACCCUUAAUCAGCCAGUCAUUGAGGAGUACUGUCUCAGUGGCGGAGCCAAGAAGCAUGGCGGCUGUUGAGGCCUGACGUGCUUCCUUGAAGUGAAUGGAGGAAGAGGCCCAGGGACCUGAGGGUAGCCCUUGAGUCCUUCAGGCCAUGUAGUCUCGCGUUCGUCUGCUCUGAAAAUAGUGACGGGCCUUCAAAAGGGAGAUCCUGGAUAGACUGCUGAAUCUCCUGAUCGAGUCCCGAUGACUGCAGCCAAGAGCAUCAUCUCAUGGUGACUACAGAGGUCAUUGUCCUGGCCGCCAUGUCUGCUGCGUCCAGUGCCUCCUGGAGAGAGGCUCUGGCAACAUUCUUUCCUUGUUCUAAGAUGGCUGAAAAUUCCUGCCAUAAGUCUUGAGACAUGGAGUCCUUAAAUUUGGACAGAGUCCCACAAAUUGUAGUCGUAUCUCCAGAGUAAGGCUUGCUGGUUUGAGAUACAUAGUUGUAGACUACCUGUCAAAUAAACUUUCCUCCCAAACAGA
This is a long non-coding RNA of Trachemys scripta elegans, 1236 nucleotides long. RefSeq lists it as uncharacterized. Lineage: Eukaryota; Metazoa; Chordata; Testudines; Emydidae. The record is from RefSeq and is a predicted model, not a curated record. The transcript has 2 exons.